RNAcentral lists this long non-coding RNA (339 nucleotides) under Setaria italica (foxtail millet). RNAcentral's name for it is "long non-coding RNA (SITA_LNC004222)". The record is from RNAcentral. Lineage: Eukaryota; Viridiplantae; Streptophyta; Magnoliopsida; Poales; Poaceae.
UUAAGAGCAAAGGGCUGAUACCUUAUUCUGCCUGCAAACAAUAGCCUACAUAUCCACGGAGCUGAGAGCAUCUUAUAAUGUCUGCACUGUGAAGAAUCAUAAACUCCAUAGUACCCACAUGCCAUUUCUUUUUCCUAGUCUCUAUUAUCUAAAUCAUUGGAGUUGGUGGUGAUGGUGUGCCUGCCAUCACCACCACUCUGCCCCUAUACUUAUUCUUAUUUACCCACAUACACCCCUAAGUCUGAUUAUUAGGAAUUUACUCACUAUCGCCUCUAUGGCACUAUUUCACAUAAACUAUGCAUCCACGUGUAUUUUUAUGAUUUGUUGUGCCGUUACAAC